This 353-nucleotide ribosomal RNA is filed under the name uncultured bacterium. RNAcentral's name for it is "bacterial SSU rRNA". It matches the Rfam family "Bacterial small subunit ribosomal RNA", at positions 8 to 353 of the family's 1533-position model. The record is from RNAcentral.
AGAGUUUGAUCCUGGCUCAGGAUGAACGCUAGCGGCAGGCCUAACACAUGCAAGUCGAGGGGCAUCGGGAUUGAAGCUUGCUUCAAUUGCCGGCGACCGGCGCACGGGUGCGUAACGCGUAUGUAACCUACCUAUAACAGGGGCAUAACACUGAGAAAUUGGUACUAAUUCCCCAUAAUAUUCGGAGAGGCAUCUCUCCGGGUUGAAAACUCCGGUGGUUAUAGAUGGACAUGCGUUGUAUUAGCUAGUUGGUGAGGUAACGGCUCACCAAGGCAACGAUACAUAGGGGGACUGAGAGGUUAACCCCCCANACUGGUACUGAGACACGGACCAGACUCCUACGGGAGGCAGCA